Molecule: ribosomal RNA, 548 nt
Filed under: uncultured bacterium
Lineage: Bacteria
Description: partial 16S ribosomal RNA
Rfam family: Bacterial small subunit ribosomal RNA
Source: RNAcentral
UGGGGAAUUUUGGACAAUGGGCGCAAGCCUGAUCCAGCAAUGCCGCGUGCAGGAUGAAGGCCUUCGGGUUGUAAACUGCUUUUGUACGGAACGAAAAGCCUCUCUCUAAUACAGGGGGUGAUGACGGUACCGUAAGAAUAAGCACCGGCUAACUACGUGCCAGCAGCCGCGGUAAUACGUAGGGUGCAAGCGUUAAUCGGAAUUACUGGGCGUAAAGCGUGCGCAGGCGGUUUUGUAAGACAGUGGUGAAAUCCCCGGGCUCAACCUGGGAACUGCCAUUGUGACUGCAAGGCUGGAGUGCGGCAGAGGGGGAUGGAAUUCCGCGUGUAGCAGUGAAAUGCGUAGAUAUGCGGAGGAACACCGAUGGCGAAGGCAAUCCCCUGGGCCUGCACUGACGCUCAUGCACGAAAGCGUGGGGAGCAAACAGGAUUAGAUACCCUGGUAGUCCACGCCCUAAAACGAUGUCAACUGGUUGUUGGGGAUUUAUUUCUUCAGUAACGAAGCUAACGCGUGAAGUUGACCGCCUGGGGGAGUACGGCCGCAAGGUU